UACGUAGGGGGCAAGCGUUGUCCGGAAUCAUUGGGCGUAAAGAGCGUGUAGGCGGCCCGAUAAGUCCGCUGUGAAAGUCCAGGGCUCAACCCUGGGAUGCCGGUGGAUACUGUCGGGCUCGAGUCCGGAAGAGGAGUGUGGAAUUCCUGGUGUAGCGGUGAAAUGCGCAGAUAUCAGGAGGAACACCAAUGGCGAAGGCAGCACUUAGGGACGUGACUGACGCUGAGACGCGAAAGCGUGGGGAGCAAACAGG
Molecule: ribosomal RNA, 253 nt
Filed under: uncultured bacterium
Lineage: Bacteria
Description: partial 16S ribosomal RNA
Rfam family: Bacterial small subunit ribosomal RNA
Source: RNAcentral